Molecule: ribosomal RNA, 554 nt
Filed under: uncultured bacterium
Lineage: Bacteria
Description: partial 16S ribosomal RNA
Rfam family: Bacterial small subunit ribosomal RNA
Source: RNAcentral
UAGGGAAUCUUCCACAAUGGACGCAAGUCUGAUGGAGCAACGCCGCGUGAGUGAAGAAGGUUUUCGGACCGUAAAGCUCUGUUGUUGGUGAAGAAGGAUAGAGGUAGUAACUGGCCUUUAUUUGACGGUAAUCAACCAGAAAGUCACGGCUAACUACGUGCCAGCAGCCGCGGUAAUACGUAGGUGGCAAGCGUUGUCCGGAUUUAUUGGGCGUAAAGCGAGCGCAGGCGGAAGAAUAAGUCUGAUGUGAAAGCCCUCGGCUUAACCGAGGAAUUGCAUCGGAAACUGUUUUCUUGAGUGCAGAAGAGGAGAGUAGAACUCCAUGUGUAGCGGUGGAAUGCGUAGAUAUAUGGAAGAAUACCAGUGGCGAAGGCGGCUCUCUGGUCUGCAACUGACACUGAGGCUCGAAAGCAUGGGUAGCGAACAGGAUUAGAUACCCUGGUAGUCCAUGCCGUAAACGAUGAGUGCUAAGUGUUGGGAGGCUUCCGCCUCUCAGUGCUGCAGCUAACGCAUUAAGCACUCCGCCUGGGGGAGUACGACCGCAAGGUUGAAAC